RNAcentral lists this ribosomal RNA (496 nucleotides) under uncultured bacterium. Its description in RNAcentral is "partial 16S ribosomal RNA". It matches the Rfam family "Bacterial small subunit ribosomal RNA", at positions 29 to 507 of the family's 1533-position model. The record is from RNAcentral.
AUGAACGCUGGCGGCGUGCCUAAUACAUGCCAGUCGAGCGAACGGACGAGAAGCUUGCUUCUCUGAUGUUAGCGGCGGACGGGUGAGUAACACGUGGAUAACCUACCUAUAAGACUGGGAUAACUUCGGGAAACCGGAGCUAAUACCGGAUAAUAUUUUGAACCGCAUGGUUCAAAAGUGAAAGACGGUCUUGCUGUCACUUAUAGAUGGAUCCGCGCUGCAUUAGCUAGUUGGUAAGGUAACGGCUUACCAAGGCAACGAUGCAUAGCCGACCUGAGAGGGUGAUCGGCCACACUGGAACUGGGACACGGUCCAGACUCCUACGGGAGGCAGCAGUAGGGAAUCUUCCGCAAUGGGCGAAAGCCUGACGGAGCAACGCCGCGUGAGUGAUGAAGGUCUUCGGAUCGUAAAACUCUGUUAUUAGGGAAGAACAUAUGUGUAAGUAACUGUGCACAUCUUGACGGUACCUAAUCAGAAAGCCACGGCUAACUACGUG